This 391-nucleotide unclassified non-coding RNA is filed under the name soil metagenome. RNAcentral's name for it is "partial contains 5.8S ribosomal RNA, internal transcribed spacer 2, and large subunit ribosomal RNA". The stretch from base 1 to 122 matches the Rfam family "5.8S ribosomal RNA", at positions 35 to 154 of the family's 154-position model. The record is from RNAcentral.
GAUGAAGAACGUAGUGAAAUGCGAUACUUGGUGUGAAUUGCAGAAUCCCGUGAACCAUCGAGUCUUUGAACGCAAGUUGCGCCCGAAGCCAUUAGGCCGAGGGCACGCCUGCCUGGGCGUCACACGUCGUUGCCCCCCCAUCUACUCCUUCGGGAUUGCGGGGGGCGGAUGAUGGCUUCCCGUGCGCCUCGCCGCGCGGUUGGCAUAAAUGCCAAGUCCUCGGCGACGCACGCCACGACAAUCGGUGGUUGCAAAACCUCGGUUGCCCGUCGUGUGCGGUCGUCGCGAAUCGAGGGCUCGAAAAAAUUGCCGGGUUCCGGCUCGGCUUUCAACGCGACCCCAGGUCAGGCGGGGUUACCCGCUGAAUUUAAGCAUAUCAAUAAGCGGAGGA